This is an RNA transcript of Strongylocentrotus purpuratus (purple sea urchin), 6823 nucleotides long. It is a transcript of the gene named ATP-dependent DNA helicase PIF1-like, with no coding region annotated. The record is from RefSeq and is a predicted model, not a curated record. The transcript has 6 exons. NCBI's taxonomy places the organism in Eukaryota, Metazoa, Echinodermata, Echinoidea, Camarodonta, Strongylocentrotidae.
UCCUUGAUGGACCAGAAGCAACGCAAACGAGACUGGCCCAGCCCCAAAAUGAACAUUGUCAUGAGGGCAUAAUGGAUUCCAUUCAUGAUCAACUAAUUGCCAUCAACCCUUAUGCUGCUGCAUACAAGCACAUGCAUGAGGUUGAGACAGAAGAGAAUAAUAGAGCAAUCACAUCAAAUUGCCAGCCACCCACUGUCACCAUGGUAAUCAAAAAAGGCACAGAUCAAAGGCGAUACAACCUGCCAACCCACGAUGAAGUCGCUGCAGUGUUUGUAGGAACUGAUGGCAUCCCCCCCGAUCGAGACCUCAUUGUCUAUCCCAGAGAUAUGCCUUUACAGAACAUUUCCACCAUAUCCCCCAACGUUGACCCCAUGACUUACCCAAUCCUAUUUCCACAUGGAGAACGUGGAUGGAUUCCUGGCAUACAACAUUCAGCACCACAUGCAACAGCAAAAAGGAAUUCAGUAACUCUUCUCCAGUUUUAUUCAUUUCGUUUGGCCAUAAGACAACAAUUCUCUCCCAUCCACAAAUCCGGCAAGCUCUUCCAACAGUACAUAGUUGACGCCUAUGUCAAAACAGAAUCUGAACGCCUGUCAUAUCUGCGACAUAAUCAAUCUCAAUUGCGAGUUGAACACUACCAAGGUUUAAUGGACCACAUCAAUAAGCAAGCCAUUGAAACAGAACGCACACUCGGUAGAAUUGUGAUAUUGCCUUCAUCCUUUCAAGGUUCCCCACGUGCAAUGAAUCAGAACUAUCAGGAUGCCAUGUCAAUAGUUGCUCACUUUGGAAAGCCAGACCUGUUUCUGACGUUUACGUGCAAUCCUAAAUGGGAAGAAAUCAAGAGCAACCUUCUUCCACACCAACAAAGUUCAGACAGGCCUGAUUUAAUCUCGAGAGUUUUCAAACUGAAGCUUGACCAACUCAUAAAAGACAUAACUAAAAAUCACAUUUUUGGCAAACCUGUAGCAUGGGUUCAUGUCAUCGAAUUCCAAAAGAGAGGUCUACCACAUUGCCACAUGUUGAUUAUUCUGGAACAAGACAGCAAAUUACGUCAGCCUGAAGAUAUUGACAGCCUCAUCAAAGCAACAAUCCCUGACCCAGUAGAAGACCCACAGCUGUUUGAAAUCAUCAAAUCUACUAUGGUGCAUGGGCCAUGUGGGGUACUGAAUCCUAAAUCAGUAUGCAUGAAAGAAGGGGUGUGCAGCAAGGAUUAUCCUAAACAGUUUCAAACAAGAACAGCAGUCUCUACUGAUGGAUAUCCCCAAUAUGCCAGACCAGACAAUAGCAGGACCGUCACCGUCAAACACAAGGAAUUGGAUAACAGAUGGAUUGUUCCUUACAGCCCAUAUCUAUCCAAAAAAUAUCAAGCACACAUAAACUUGGAAGCCUGCAUGUCCAUCAAAAGCGUGAAGUACCUGUACAAAUACAUCUAUAAAGGAUACGACUGUGCAACAUUGCAAACUUCACAAACUACAGUAAAUCACGAUGAGAUCUCCUCUUUCACGGAUGCAAGAUAUGUUAGUGCACCAGAAGGAUUUUGGCGACUGUCAGAGUACUCUAUGCAAGGACGUUCACACACAAUCCAUCGUCUACCAGUUCAUCUUGCCAACAAACAACCAGUCUACUUCACACGAGGACAGGAGGAGGAAGGUCUUGAAAGAGCAAACAAUAAACAAUCCAAAUUAUCUGCUUGGUUCCAACUCAAUGAAGAAGAUGAAGAUGCAAAUCAAUACUUCUACACAGAAAUACCCAACCACUAUGUUUUCAAUAAUAAAACAAGCCGUUGGCAAAAACGGAAAAAAAAUGUCAAAUCUGUGCAAAGAAUGUACAGUGUGAGUCCUAAAGACGAAGAAAGAUUUUUUUCUUCGUCUACUUCUACUGCAUGUUCCUGGGGCCAAGAGCUACAAAGACAUGAAAACCGUCGAUGGAAUUGAAGCCUCUACUUUCAAAGAAGCAUGCCUAAAACUCAACCUUCUUGAAAGUGACAAAGUAUGGGAUGACACAUUGAGAGAAGCAUCAUCAUACAAGAUGCCAAGACAGAUGCGUCUGCUCUUUGCAACAAUAGUGGCACACAAUCAUCCAACAGAUGUCCUCUCAUUAUGGGAAAACCAUAAAAGUGCACUCACAGAGGAUUUCAGAAGAACAUUUCCUCAACCACAAGCAACCCAACAUGCCCUUGCACACAUCAAUGAUAUCCUAAAACAGCAUGGACUUUCAUGUAGAUCCCUUGGAUUACCUUUGGAAACCCUACAAGACGGUCAAAUACAAAAUGAUCUUCUACAUGAGGCAAACCAAUUUGAUAACCCUGAUGUCCAAAUGAAUGAAGAACAGGAACAUGUCAUCAACACAAUCCUCCAAUGUCAACAAACCAUCUCCCAAGGAAUGAAUCCACCGACUACUGCCUUCUUCAUUGAUGGUCCAGGAGGUACAGGAAAAACUACAAUGUAUAACCGACUCAUUGCUACAUUCCACAAGAAAAACCUGAAAGUGUCUGCUACAGCAUAUACUGGCAUUGCUGCAACACUUCUACACAAGGGUCAAACAAUUCACAGCUUUUACAAAUUGCCAGUACCUAUUGAUGAAAGAUCUACAUGCAAUGUUCCACCAGAUACACAACAAGCGCAAAAGGUGCGAGAUACUGAUCUAUUCAUAAUAGAUGAAGCUUCAAUGGUGCCAAAACAUGCACUGGAUGCCAUCAACAUGAUGCUACAAGACGUAAUGGAUAAUGACAAACUCUUUGGAGGAAAGAUUGUUCUGUUAGGUGGAGACUUUCGACAAGUCUUACCAGUAAUUCCAAGAGUUGCUCCGGCAGUACUGAUGGAGAACACAAUUAAGAAAUCAAACACCUUCCAAGAGUUUCACAACUUCAAGCUGACCACAAACAUGAGAGCAGAUGAAAGUGAGAAACAGUUUGCGAAAUGGCUGCUUGAGGUAGGAGAAGGAACGUAUGAUGCUGGAACAGACGCACUUCCAGGUGAUUCCAUUGUACUUCCAUCCUCAGUAAUCACAAAAGACAUUGUGAAGGACAUGUAUGAUGACAAUGACAACAAUAAUGUCGAAAAAGAAGCUAUCCUCACACCAAAGAACGAUGCCACGUUCAUAAUAAAUCAGCAAAUACUUCAAAAACUUCCCGAGAAUACAGCAGUGUACUACAGUACAGAUACAAUCACAACAGAUGACCCUUCAGAUGCUCUGAGCUAUCCAACAGAAUUUGUAAACUCAAUGACACCAUCAGGAUUACCACUCCAUAAACUGCAAUUGAAACAGGGAGCAAUUGUGAUGUUACUUCGUAACCUUGAUAUCAAUGAUGGAUUGUGUAAUGGUACAAGAUUGAGAAUUUGCAAUUUGUACAACAAUGUCAUUGAUGCGCAAGUGUUGAUAACAGGCAAACGUGUAUUUAUCCCACGGAUAAAGUUGACCCCAUCUGACACCACCAUGCCAUUUAACUUACACCGUGUACAAUUUCCAAUACGUUUAGCAUAUUGCAUGACAAUCAAUAAGGCUCAAGGACAAACCUUCUCCAGAGUUGGGAUCUAUCUGCCGUACCCAGUUUUCACACAUGGACAACUAUACGUAGCAUUGUCCAGGGCUAAAUCACUCAACAGCAUACGUGUGAUGAUGGACAACACUUCAGGCCAAGGAAAGAAACACAGUAAAUACUACACAAAGAACAUCGUGUAUCGUGAAGUCCUAGGUUGAAAUUUCUUUUCCUCUAAAGGGCAACAUGGAAAACAUCAAAGCAGCAAGUCUACAAAUCUUAGGUACAAUGACAAGGCUGCAAGUCAAGGCACCGACUCUCACGAAGGACGCAUGGCAGCAAAUAAUAAACCUGACAGAAAAGAUAGAAGAGUCUGCUAUAGAAAUGAAAAAUGAAACAUCAAGUAUGAAAGAAGCCAACAAAAAAUUACUGAUUAAGAAUGCAGCACUUUCCAAAGAGGGAUUCAACUUGCGGCAGCAGCUCAAAGAAAUGAAAUCUGCGUUAAAUGACUCUCAGCUAAAAUGCAGCAAUGCAUUAGAUGAGCUACAUGAAGUGAUGAACAGUACUGAUAAUAUAAUAGCUUCUCAACCUACAGCCCAAUCAACGCCCCAGGAAAACGAACAAGGAACCUCCAACAACGACGACACCUCAUCAUCGCCCAUAAUGUAAGAUCUCAUGUACCGUACACCAAUGUUUUUUAAGAAUAAAGUUACUCUCAACUAUGUUUUUUAAAACUUUCAUUUAACUUAAAUUAAAAGAAAAGUUAUUUAAUAUGAUUACUUAGACCUAUAUCAAUUUCUCUUUCUUUUUUAGAACUAAUUAAAAACUAAAUACAUUUAUAACGCUUGAGAUAAAAACUGAUGUCUAUAAUUUCUUUUAACUCUUGCAGUAUGCAAAACUACUUGACCUGUUGUAAAAAUGCAAAAAUGUUUGAUCUUUUAUUAAGGUAAACAAUUUUAUGCAUUCAUUUUUUUAAAGUAGUAGAAAAAACAUAGCUCUACAAAAUGAUCUGAAAAAAUAUGGUUUUUCAACUUCAUACAUGACGUAUUUUACAUGUAUUUUUAUAAUCAAAGUUCCAUUUAUAUUUUACCUUCAAAUAUUUAAUGGGGAACUGGAUAUCUUGCCUACAUUAUGCAAUAACAUAGACGUAAUCCAUACUUGAAACUCUUAAGUAUGUUGACUAUGUUACAUAACGCUGAAAAUAUAUAUUAAAUUUCUAUGUUCAAAGUAUAUCUUGACUCAUUCAUGCAAUAUCAAAAAGUAUUCCAGUACUUAAUCUUUUUUAAUGAGGGUAUGUCAUAUAUUGCCAAAGCUAUGUAAAUAAGUGUUUUUAUAAAUAUGUGGAUGUAGAUAAGUUAUGUUCUUAUUUAACUAUAUGUAUGAAUCAAUUAUUCGCUGACACCUCUCAUAUUCCAAAUCGUUAUUUCCUUUAAAUAUUUAAAUCUACCUCGCUGACACCUCUCAUACAUGAAUAUCAGAUCGUUAAUUCCUUUAAAAAAUUGAUCUACCUCAAUUUCCUGAAACAAAUUUUUUUGAAAGAAUAAAAUGCUCAAGUAUUUAUCGCUAUUUCUUUAUGGAAAUAAGUGAUAAAAUUCAAGAAUAUGAAAGUUUGAUUAUAAUCUGAUUUUAAAAUUAUAUUUCUCUUCACAACCCCAUUUUCAAUUUUUGUAUACAAAAUAAAUGAAAUAAAAAAUCACAUCUUAACAAUCAUUUAAAAAAUAUUUCAGACUUUAACUCACAAAUGAUCUCAUAUCUCUAAGUAAAAAAACGACACUUGCCGAAGAACAAAUGAAAAAUAUUCUGUACUUACAUGUUAUGUUAUUUAUUACCAAAAAACAGACGAUCUCAUAUCACUAAUUAUGCAGCAACACUUGCCAAAGAAAAAUGUAGAAUUUCUGUACUUACAAUGUUAUGUUAUUGAUUACCAAAACUGUAUUCCAUGAAACUAGAUGUUCUACUGUAAUGUUGUUCGUAAACAUACAUCAAUGUACAUAUGUUGUCAAUAUGUAAAAUGCCUUUUCAUGUUUUGAUUGCAAAUGAUACAAUUUAAAGUGUUCCGCACUACAGCCUUUAACCUUUAAAAUAGAUAUUAAAUUUCUAUGUUCAAAGAUUAUCUUGACUCAUUCAUGCAAUAUCAAAAAGUAUUCCAGUACUUAAUCUUUUUUUAAACGAGGAUACGUCAUAUAUUGCCAAAGCUAUGUAAAUAAGUGUUUUUAUAAAUAUGUGGAUGUAGAUAAGUUAUGUUCUUAUUUAACUAUAUGUAUGAAUCAAUUAUUCGCUGACACCUCUCAUAUUCCAAAUCGUUAUUUCCUUUAAAUAUUUAAAUCUACCUCGCCGACACCUCUCAUAAAUCAGAUCGUUAAUUCCUUUAAGUAAUUGAUCUACCUCAAUUUCCUGAAACAAGUUUUUUUGAAAGAAUAAAAUGCUCAAAUAUUUAUCGCUAUUUCUUUAUGGAAAUAAGUGAUAAAAUUCAAGUAUAUGAAAGUUUGAUUAUAAUCUGAUUUUAAAAUUAGAUACUCUUCACAACCCCAUUUUCAAUUUUUGUAUACAAAAUAAAUGUGAUUUCUUAUUACAAUUAUUUUAAAAAUCAUUAUAAAAUAUUUCUGACUUUAACUCACAGAUGAUCUCAUAUCUCUAAGUAAAAAGACAACACUUGCCAAAGAACAAAUGAAGAAGAUUCUGUACUUACAUGUUAUGUUAUUUAUUACCAAAAAUCAGACGAUCUCAUAUCACUAAUUAUGCAGCAACACUUGCCAAAGAACAUAUGUAGAAGAUUCUGUACUUACAAUGUUAUGUUAUUUAUUACCAAAACUAUAUUCCAUGAAACUACAUGUUCUACUGUAAUGUUGUUCGUAAACAUACAUACAAUAUACAUAUGUUGUCAAUAUGUAAAAUGCCUUUCAUGUUUUGAUUGCAAAUGAUACAAUUUAAAGUGUUCUGCACUACAACCUUUAACCUUUAAUAAUAAUACAUAUGUAAGUGUAAACUUCAUCUUUCAUUAUCUGCCUGACUUCAACUUUCUUACUUCAAAAUUUACUUUUAAAAGCAAACAAUAAAUCUUUUGAGGUAUAUUAGAUUGUAAUUUUUAAAUAUAACAACUAUCAUGUUAUAUGAUAUGUAAGAGUAUGAAAUAAGUAAGUAAUACAAUAAAUGUAAUUCUUUCAAGUUGAUUGUAUCAUACUUACAAAAUAUAUUUUUGAUGAUAAUUUUGUUAUUAAAACAUGUAGUUUUAAUAGAAUAUGUUAAGUCAAAUAUAUCAACUGUUAUUCAUAGUUCGUUUUGGAAAAGUUAUGAAUAAAUAUGAAAUUGUUCAUACAUGUAUUAAAAAUCAAUCUUUGAAAUCAA